This 1539-nucleotide ribosomal RNA is filed under the name Psychrobacter sp. SZ93C1. RNAcentral's name for it is "bacterial SSU rRNA". It matches the Rfam family "Bacterial small subunit ribosomal RNA". The record is from RNAcentral. RNAcentral also lists the same sequence under 2 other names. Lineage: Bacteria; Pseudomonadati; Pseudomonadota; Gammaproteobacteria; Moraxellales; Moraxellaceae.
AAACUGAAGAGUUUGAUCAUGGCUCAGAUUGAACGCUGGCGGCAGGCUUAACACAUGCAAGUCGAGCGGAAACGAUGAUAGCUUGCUAUCAGGCGUCGAGCGGCGGACGGGUGAGUAAUACUUAGGAAUCUACCUAGUAGUGGGGGAUAGCACGGGGAAACUCGUAUUAAUACCGCAUACGACCUACGGGAGAAAGGGGGCAGUUUACUGCUCUCGCUAUUAGAUGAGCCUAAGUCGGAUUAGCUAGAUGGUGGGGUAAAGGCCUACCAUGGCGACGAUCUGUAGCUGGUCUGAGAGGAUGAUCAGCCACACCGGGACUGAGACACGGCCCGGACUCCUACGGGAGGCAGCAGUGGGGAAUAUUGGACAAUGGGGGAAACCCUGAUCCAGCCAUGCCGCGUGUGUGAAGAAGGCCUUUUGGUUGUAAAGCACUUUAAGCAGUGAAGAAGACUCCGUGGUUAAUACCCACGGACGAUGACAUUAGCUGCAGAAUAAGCACCGGCUAACUCUGUGCCAGCAGCCGCGGUAAUACAGAGGGUGCAAGCGUUAAUCGGAAUUACUGGGCGUAAAGGGAGCGUAGGUGGCUCUAUAAGUCAGAUGUGAAAUCCCCGGGCUCAACCUGGGAACUGCAUCUGAAACUGUAGAGCUAGAGUAUGUGAGAGGAAGGUAGAAUUCCAGGUGUAGCGGUGAAAUGCGUAGAGAUCUGGAGGAAUACCGAUGGCGAAGGCAGCCUUCUGGCAUAAUACUGACACUGAGGCUCGAAAGCGUGGGUAGCAAACAGGAUUAGAUACCCUGGUAGUCCACGCCGUAAACGAUGUCUACUAGUCGUUGGGUCCCUUGAGGACUUAGUGACGCAGCUAACGCAAUAAGUAGACCGCCUGGGGAGUACGGCCGCAAGGUUAAAACUCAAAUGAAUUGACGGGGGCCCGCACAAGCGGUGGAGCAUGUGGUUUAAUUCGAUGCAACGCGAAGAACCUUACCUGGUCUUGACAUAUCUAGAAUCCUGCAGAGAUGCGGGAGUGCCUUCGGGAAUUAGAAUACAGGUGCUGCAUGGCUGUCGUCAGCUCGUGUCGUGAGAUGUUGGGUUAAGUCCCGCAACGAGCGCAACCCUUGUCCUUAGUUACCAGCGGGUUAAGCCGGGAACUCUAAGGAUACUGCCAGUGACAAACUGGAGGAAGGCGGGGACGACGUCAAGUCAUCAUGGCCCUUACGACCAGGGCUACACACGUGCUACAAUGGUAGGUACAGAGGGCAGCUACACAGCGAUGUGAUGCGAAUCUCAAAAAGCCUAUCGUAGUCCAGAUUGGAGUCUGCAACUCGACUCCAUGAAGUAGGAAUCGCUAGUAAUCGCGGAUCAGAAUGCCGCGGUGAAUACGUUCCCGGGCCUUGUACACACCGCCCGUCACACCAUGGGAGUUGAUUGCACCAGAAGUGGAUAGCUUAACCUUCGGGGAGGCGUUCACCACGGUGUGGUUGAUGACUGGGGUGAAGUCGUAACAAGGUAGCCGUAGGGGAACCUGCGGCUGGAUCACCUCCUUA